GACGAACGCUGGCGGCGUGCUUAACACAUGCAAGUCGAACGGAAAGGCCCUGCUUUUGUGGGGUGCUCGAGUGGCGAACGGGUGAGUAACACGUGAGUAACCUGCCCUUGACUUUGGGAUAACUUCAGGAAACUGGGGCUAAUACCGGAUAGGAGCUCCUGCUGCAUGGUGGGGGUUGGAAAGUUUCGGCGGUUGGGGAUGGACUCGCGGCUUAUCAGCUUGUUGGUGGGGUAGUGGCUUACCAAGGCUUUGACGGGUAGCCGGCCUGAGAGGGUGACCGGCCACAUUGGGACUACGGUACGGCCCAGACUCCUACGGGAGGCAGCAGUGGGGAAUAUUGCACAAUGGGCGGAAGCCUGAUGCAGCAACGCCGCGUGCGGGAUGACGGCCUGCGGGUUGUAAACCGCUUUCGCCUGUGACGAAGCGUGAGUGACGGUAAUGGGUAAAGAAGCACCGGCUAACUACGUG
RNAcentral lists this ribosomal RNA (468 nucleotides) under uncultured bacterium. RNAcentral's name for it is "partial 16S ribosomal RNA". It matches the Rfam family "Bacterial small subunit ribosomal RNA", at positions 28 to 507 of the family's 1533-position model. The record is from RNAcentral.